AUUGAACGCUGGCGGCAGGCCUAACACAUGCAAGUCGAGCGGAUGAAGGGAGCUUGCUCCUGGAUUCAGCGGCGGACGGGUGAGUAAUGCCUAGGAAUCUGCCUGGUAGUGGGGGAUAACGUCCGGAAACGGGCGCUAAUACCGCAUACGUCCUGAGGGAGAAAGUGGGGGAUCUUCGGACCUCACGCUAUCAGAUGAGCCUAGGUCGGAUUAGCUAGUUGGUGGGGUAAAGGCCUACCAAGGCGACGAUCCGUAACUGGUCUGAGAGGAUGAUCAGUCACACUGGAACUGAGACACGGUCCAGACUCCUACGGGAGGCAGCAGUGGGGAAUAUUGGACAAUGGGCGAAAGCCUGAUCCAGCCAUGCCGCGUGUGUGAAGAAGGUCUUCGGAUUGUAAAGCACUUUAAGUUGGGAGGAAGGGCAGUAAGUUAAUACCUUGCUGUUUUGACGUUACCAACGAAUAGCACCGAAUU
This 474-nucleotide ribosomal RNA is filed under the name Pseudomonas aeruginosa. RNAcentral describes it as "bacterial SSU rRNA". It matches the Rfam family "Bacterial small subunit ribosomal RNA", at positions 30 to 499 of the family's 1533-position model. The record is from RNAcentral. Lineage: Bacteria; Pseudomonadati; Pseudomonadota; Gammaproteobacteria; Pseudomonadales; Pseudomonadaceae.